CAUUGAUUAGUUUAAGUUUUUAAAAUUAAAAUACUAAUUUUGGGGAUUAGAGAUAUUUAGUGUAUUGGUGC
Molecule: transfer RNA, 71 nt
Filed under: Rhodosoma turcicum
Lineage: Eukaryota; Metazoa; Chordata; Ascidiacea; Phlebobranchia; Corellidae
Description: transfer RNA-Pro
Source: RNAcentral